RNAcentral lists this ribosomal RNA (478 nucleotides) under uncultured bacterium. Its description in RNAcentral is "partial 16S ribosomal RNA". It matches the Rfam family "Bacterial small subunit ribosomal RNA", at positions 28 to 507 of the family's 1533-position model. The record is from RNAcentral.
GAUGAACGCUGGCGGCGUGCUUAACGCAUGCAAGUCGAACGAGAAGUGAAGACGGAAACCUUCGGGCGGAAGGCUUUAUUUCGAGUGGCGGACGGGUGAGUAACGCGUGGGUAACCUGCCUCAUACAGGGGGAUAACAGUUGGAAACGACUGUUAAUACCGCAUAAGACCACAGCACCGCAUGGUGCGGGGGUAAAAACUCCGGUGGUAUGAGAUGGACCCGCGUUCGAUUAGCCAGUUGGCGGGGUAACGGCCCACCAAAGCGACGAUCGAUAGCCGAUCUGAGAGGAUGACCGGCCACAUUGGGACUGAGACACGGCCCAAACUCCUACGGGAGGCAGCAGUGGGGAAUAUUGCACAAUGGGGGAAACCCUGAUGCAGCGACGCCGCGUGAGUGAAGAAGUAUUUCGGUAUGUAAAGCUCUAUCAGCAGGGAAGAAAAUGACGGUACCUGAGUAAGAAGCCCCGGCUAACUACGUG